This 444-nucleotide ribosomal RNA is filed under the name uncultured bacterium. Its description in RNAcentral is "SSU rRNA". It matches the Rfam family "Bacterial small subunit ribosomal RNA", at positions 26 to 518 of the family's 1533-position model. The record is from RNAcentral.
AGAGCGAACGCUGGCGGCAGGCUUAACACAUGCAAGUCGAACGGAUCCUUCGGGAUUAGUGGCGGACGGGUGAGUAACACGUGGGAACGUGCCUUUAGGUUCGGAACAACACAGGGAAACUUGUGCUAAUACCGGAUGUGCCCUUCGGGGGAAAGAUUUAUCGCCUUUAGAGCGGCCCGCGUCUGAUUAGCUUGUUGGUGAGGUAAAGGCUCACCAAGGCUACGAUCAGUAGCUGGUCUGAGAGGAUGGCCAGCCACAUUGGGACUGAGACACGGCCCAAACUCCUACGGGAGGCAGCAGUGGGGAAUCUUGCGCAAUGGGGGAAACCCUGACGCAGCCAUGCCGCGUGGAUGAUGAAGGUCUUAGGGUUGUAAAGUCCUUUUAACGGGGAAGAUAAUGACGGUACCGUAGAAUAAGCCCGGCUAACUUCGUGCCAGCAGCCGC